Long non-coding RNA from Pelmatolapia mariae (spotted tilapia), 155 nucleotides. RefSeq lists it as uncharacterized. The transcript is spliced from 3 exons. Lineage: Eukaryota; Metazoa; Chordata; Actinopteri; Cichliformes; Cichlidae. The record is from RefSeq and is a predicted model, not a curated record.
UCAGCUCAAGAGACUAUUGUUGUCAUUGCUGUGGAUCUUUACCUGAUACACUGACUUGGCUCGGGACCAGCACUCCUGUUGUUGGACAGAAAGACAUCAACUCAGUGACUUGAGAUAUGACUGCACUAUGCUGUUGCUGUGACUCCAGUUAAUUA